This 1329-nucleotide ribosomal RNA is filed under the name Clostridium botulinum B1 str. Okra. RNAcentral's name for it is "16S ribosomal RNA". It matches the Rfam family "Bacterial small subunit ribosomal RNA", at positions 90 to 1440 of the family's 1533-position model. The record is from RNAcentral. Lineage: Bacteria; Bacillati; Bacillota; Clostridia; Eubacteriales; Clostridiaceae.
GAUUAGCGGCGGACGGGUGAGUAACACGUGGGUAACCUGCCUCAAAGUGGGGGAUAGCCUUCCGAAAGGAAGAUUAAUACCGCAUAAUAUAAGAGAAUCGCAUGAUUUUCUUAUCAAAGAUUUAUUGCUUUGAGAUGGACCCGCGGCGCAUUAGCUAGUUGGUAAGGUAACGGCUUACCAAGGCAACGAUGCGUAGCCGACCUGAGAGGGUGAUCGGCCACAUUGGAACUGAGACACGGUCCAGACUCCUACGGGAGGCAGCAGUGGGGAAUAUUGCGCAAUGGGGGAAACCCUGACGCAGCAACGCCGCGUGGGUGAUGAAGGUCUUCGGAUUGUAAAGCCCUGUUUUCUAGGACGAUAAUGACGGUACUAGAGGAGGAAGCCACGGCUAACUACGUGCCAGCAGCCGCGGUAAUACGUAGGUGGCGAGCGUUGUCCGGAUUUACUGGGCGUAAAGGGUGCGUAGGCGGAUGUUUAAGUGGGAUGUGAAAUCCCCGGGCUUAACCUGGGGGCUGCAUUCCAAACUGGAUAUCUAGAGUGCAGGAGAGGAAAGCGGAAUUCCUAGUGUAGCGGUGAAAUGCGUAGAGAUUAGGAAGAACACCAGUGGCGAAGGCGGCUUUCUGGACUGUAACUGACGCUGAGGCACGAAAGCGUGGGUAGCAAACAGGAUUAGAUACCCUGGUAGUCCACGCCGUAAACGAUGGAUACUAGGUGUAGGGGGUAUCAACUCCCCCUGUGCCGCAGUUAACACAAUAAGUAUCCCGCCUGGGGAGUACGGUCGCAAGAUUAAAACUCAAAGGAAUUGACGGGGGCCCGCACAAGCAGCGGAGCAUGUGGUUUAAUUCGAAGCAACGCGAAGAACCUUACCUGGACUUGACAUCCCUUGCAUAGCCUAGAGAUAGGUGAAGCCCUUCGGGGCAAGGAGACAGGUGGUGCAUGGUUGUCGUCAGCUCGUGUCGUGAGAUGUUAGGUUAAGUCCUGCAACGAGCGCAACCCUUGUUAUUAGUUGCUACCAUUAAGUUGAGCACUCUAAUGAGACUGCCUGGGUAACCAGGAGGAAGGUGGGGAUGACGUCAAAUCAUCAUGCCCCUUAUGUCCAGGGCUACACACGUGCUACAAUGGUAGGUACAAUAAGACGCAAGACCGUGAGGUGGAGCAAAACUUAUAAAACCUAUCUCAGUUCGGAUUGUAGGCUGCAACUCGCCUACAUGAAGCUGGAGUUGCUAGUAAUCGCGAAUCAGAAUGUCGCGGUGAAUACGUUCCCGGGCCUUGUACACACCGCCCGUCACACCAUGAGAGCUGGUAACACCCGAAGUCCGUGAGGUAACC